Molecule: ribosomal RNA, 662 nt
Filed under: uncultured fungus
Lineage: Eukaryota; Fungi
Description: eukaryotic LSU rRNA
Rfam family: Eukaryotic large subunit ribosomal RNA
Source: RNAcentral
CCCGCUGAACUUAAGCAUAUCAAUAAGCGGAGGAAAAGAAACUAACAAGGAUUCCCCUAGUAACUGCGAGUGAAGAGGGAAGAGCUCAAAUUUAAAAUCUGGCUGUCUCUGGCAGUCCGAGUUGUAGUUUAGAGAAGCGUUAUCCGCGCUGGCCUGUGCAUAAGUUUCUUGGAAAAGAACAUCAUAGAGGGUGACAAUCCCGUCUUUGGCACAGAUAACCGGGGCUUUUGUGAUGCGCUCUCAACGAGUCGUGUUGUUUGGGAAUGCAGCACUAAAUGGGUGGUAAAUUCCAUCUAAAGCUAAAUAUUGGCGAGAGACCGAUAGCGAACAAGUACCGUGAGGGAAAGAUGAAAAGAACUUUGAAAAGAGAGUUAAACAGUACGUGAAAUCGUUGAAAGGGAAACGCUUGAAGUCAGUCGCGUCUGCUAGGGAUCAAGUUGCCUUUUGGUGACCGCACUUCCUAGUCGGAUGGGUCAGCAUCAAUUUUGACUGUUGGAUAAAGGCUUAGGGAAUGUGGCAUCUUCGGAUGUGUUAUAGACCUGGGUUGUAUACAAUGGUUGGGAUUGAGGAACUCAGUGUGCCUUCAUGGUUGGGGCUUCGGCUCACAUCACACACUUAGGAUGCUGGCAUAAUGGCUUUAAUCGACCCGUCUUGAAACACGG